RNAcentral lists this ribosomal RNA (968 nucleotides) under Plethodon vehiculum (western red-backed salamander). Its description in RNAcentral is "partial large subunit ribosomal RNA". It matches the Rfam family "Bacterial large subunit ribosomal RNA", at positions 1454 to 2597 of the family's 2925-position model. The record is from RNAcentral. Lineage: Eukaryota; Metazoa; Chordata; Amphibia; Caudata; Plethodontidae.
GCUUGAGAAUGAAUUUAAGUUCAAAUAAAAGCAACAUACCAUCAAGAAAGGCCGUGCUUUUAUUAUAAUUAAUUAAGGUACAGCCUAAUUAAUAAAAGAAACAACUUAUAUAAAUAAAUAAAGAUUAUAAUAUACCAAAAUCUAGCAUCGUAGGCCUAAAAGCAGCCAUCACCUAAAAGCGUCAAAGCUUAACUUAGAAUUACUAAUUAUUUCAAUAAAUAAUCUUAACUUACAAAAAUUAUCAAGCAAAUCUACUAUGUAGAUAUAUUACUGCUAGAACAAGUAACAAGGAGCAAACCUCUAUAAUGUAUGUGUAAAUCAAAAUGAACAAAUCACUGAUAAUUAAUGAAUCUUUAAACCGCAAUACAUUAACCCAACACAGGAACAUUUAAGAAAGAUUUAAAGUCUAAAAAGGAACUCGGCAAAAUAUAGAGCUUCGCCUGUUUACCAAAAACAUCGCCUCUUGCUAAACUAACAUAAGAGGUACUGCCUGCCCAGUGACACCUGUUCAACGGCCGCGGUAUUAUGACCGUGCAAAGGUAGCGUAAUCACUUGCCCUUUAAAUAAGGGCCAGUAUGAAUGGCAAAACGAGAGCUCAACUGUCUCCUUAGACCAAUCAGUGAAACUGAUAUUUCCGUGCAGAAGCGGAGAUACGUAUAUAAGACGAGAAGACCCUGUGGAGCUUUAAACCUUAACUACAUAUAAUAAAUAUAAUUUAGAAUAAGGUUUUAGGUUGGGGCGACCCCGGGGUCAAAAAAAACCCCCAGGAUAAACUAAGAAGGACACUUCAAAGUAAUAAUAUAAUUGACCCAAUAAUUGAUCAACGAACUAAGUUACCCCAGGGAUAACAGCGCAAUCCUCCCACAGAGUUCCUAUCGACGAGAGGGUUUACGACCUCGAUGUUGGAUCAGGACCCCCAAAUGGUGCAGCAGCUAUUAAAGGUUCGUUUGUUCAACGAUUAAAGUCCU